AACGCGAAGAACCUUACCAGGUCUUGACAUCCUCUGAAAACCCUAGAGAUAGGGCUUCUCYUUCGGGAGCAGAGUGACAGGUGRUGCAUGGUUGUCGUCAGCUCGUGYCGUGAGAUGUUGGGUUAAGYCCCGCAACGAGCGCAAYCCUUGAYCUUAGUUGCCAUCAUUAAGUUGGGCACUCUAAGGUGACUGCCGGUGACAAACCGGAGGAAGGUGGGGAUGACGUCAAAUCAUCAUGCCCCUUAUGACCUGGGCUACACACGUGCUACAAUGGACGGUACAAAGAGCUGCAAGACCGCGAGGUGGAGCUAAUCUCAUAAAACCGUUCUCAGUUCGGAUUGUAGGCUGCAACUCGCCUACAUGAAGCUGGAAUCGCUAGUAAUCGCGGAUCAGCAUGCCGCGGUGAAUACGUUCCCGGGCCUUGUACACACCG
This 433-nucleotide ribosomal RNA is filed under the name uncultured Bacillus sp. RNAcentral's name for it is "bacterial SSU rRNA". It matches the Rfam family "Bacterial small subunit ribosomal RNA", at positions 958 to 1392 of the family's 1533-position model. The record is from RNAcentral. Lineage: Bacteria; Bacillati; Bacillota; Bacilli; Caryophanales; Bacillaceae.